AACGCACCUUGCGCUCCUUGGUAUUCCGAGGAGCAUGCCUGUUUGAGUGUCAUUAAUAUAUCAACUUCAUCAACCUUGUUGAGUGAGUGUUGGAUGGUGGGGGUUGUUUUGUUGGCCUUUUGAAAGACAAAGGUCAACUCCCCUAAAAUGUAUUAGCAGAACAUUUUGGUUGACCAUUUGCUGGUGUGAUAACUAUCUACGCUAUUGAUGGUAAGGCCAAGUUCAGCUUCUAGCAGCCCAUUAAGUUGGACAUUUUUUAUCAUCAAUGUGACCUCAAAUCAGGUAGGACUACCCGCUGAACUUAA
RNAcentral lists this unclassified non-coding RNA (305 nucleotides) under uncultured fungus. Its description in RNAcentral is "partial contains 5.8S ribosomal RNA, internal transcribed spacer 2, and large subunit ribosomal RNA". The stretch from base 1 to 52 matches the Rfam family "5.8S ribosomal RNA", at positions 103 to 154 of the family's 154-position model. Lineage: Eukaryota; Fungi. RNAcentral also lists the same sequence under 1 other name. The record is from RNAcentral.